This is a long non-coding RNA of Phascolarctos cinereus (koala), 1422 nucleotides long. RefSeq lists it as uncharacterized. The record is from RefSeq and is a predicted model, not a curated record. NCBI's taxonomy places the organism in Eukaryota, Metazoa, Chordata, Mammalia, Diprotodontia, Phascolarctidae.
AAGUAAUAUAAGCUGCCUUGGCAGGUGGUGGGUUCCUCAAUGGAGGGCUUCAAGCAAAGGCUGAAUGACCGCUCAGGCAUGUCACAGGCAACCGCUGGACAAGGUGGUCUCUGUGGACCCCUUCUCCUCUGUGGUUCUGUGAGCUUGGGGUUGUGAAUGCAAAGAAAUUGAAGACUGGAGUGGGAUUUGAACCCACAUUCAUUGGCCCCUGAACCAGUGUUCUUUGUAACGUGCUCAAAAUGGGAAAAAUAGAUUUUCAGAGAAAACCACAGCUGUCGUUGGCUCUAAAUGUGAAGAUAUUCUGAGAAGUCAUUAAAGUCCAGUGGCGGGACAAAAGUCAAGAUGACCAGGAUGCAGUGGAUGACUGUAGCAUCUUUGAUGUCUGACCAGACUCUAAGUGCUCCAAAAUGCUUCAACCACCUUCAUGGCGGUUGGAAUGAAAUGUUCUCCUCCAGUUCCACCAAGGGAGGUCUUCACAUGCAUAGGGUAGAUACCCUUCUACCUCACCUUCUAUCUUCAGGCCAAUAGGUUACUUUCAACUUGGUUUAGCCUGUCUGCCCAAGACAAUUUUACUAGAGUGUGGCUGCUGCACAUGCUAUAGCUUCUUGGAGUUGGAAGUGAGAGUCGAGGGCCAGGUGGACCCAAAAAUUGGCUGAGUAACCCUGAAAAGGCAGUCCUUCUUGACACCCUAAACUGCAAUGCUACAAACUUUGUCAAGGAGUGAUCUCAUUUCCUCAGCGACCAUAUUUGGGAGUUUCAUCAGAUGUGGGAAAGCCUUUAUGCAGCAGAGCAGUAAGUUGAGAUGGGUCAGAAGACAUGGGGCCACACUUAACCUCUGUGUAACAGUUAACUCAAUGGCUUGGAUGGCUCCCAGAAGCUUGUCAGAGAAGCCUGGGCCCCUGGGCAUGGCACUGGGGAGUGGAGCCUGUACACUCCCCUCCCCACCCUGCCUCCAGCCCAGAUAGUUGCCUCUUCCCUUCUUCCAGCAGAGCCUCCAGCUUACCUCUACCUAGUGACUUGGAAUCAAAUCCCACCUAGGACGGUUUCUGCUUGUAUCACCUUAGGCCAGUCACUUCACCUCCACAGCCAUCAGUUUCCUCCUCCGUAACAUGCAGGACAGGAGUUAGACUGAAUGGCCUCUGAGGUCCCAGACUUUUUACAGAUGAUAUUUAUCUUAUCAAACACUUAGCACAAUGCCUGCCACAUAAUAAGGGCUUAAUAAAUAUUUAUUGAAUUAGAAGGCCCCCAAUAAAUGCUAGUUUCCUCCCCCACCUUCCUUUUUCUUUCCAUUCUGUAUCUGUGAUCCAAGAAUUCAGUUAGCUCCUUCUCUGAAGUCAAGAUUGUGAAUGAAUGAAAGUGGUAUCAGGGGCAGAAAAAGGAGGAGACAUGACUGGAGUAGAGGUUACCAGGUAGAUAAAGAAU